Molecule: ribosomal RNA, 253 nt
Filed under: uncultured bacterium
Lineage: Bacteria
Description: partial 16S ribosomal RNA
Rfam family: Bacterial small subunit ribosomal RNA
Source: RNAcentral
UACAGAGGUGGCAAGCGUUGUUCGGAAUUACUGGGCGUAAAGCGCACGUAGUCGGCUUUGCAAGUCGGGUGUGAAAUCCCCGGGCUCAACCUGGGAACUGCAUCCGAGACUGCAUUGCUAGAGUAUGGGAGAGGGAAGCGGAAUUUCUGGUGUAGCAGUGAAAUGCGUAGAUAUCAGAAGGAACAUCAGUGGCGAAGGCGGCUUCCUGGACCAAUACUGACGAUCAGGUGCGAAAGCGUGGGGAGCAAACAGG